AACAUCAAAGAUCUCUGGAGGAAAAUUUUAUUAUUUUUGGUUUAAGAAGAAGAGUUGAAAUAUAUGCUGUACUGGAACUUGAAGCAAAAUAGGUGAUGGGGUUUGGUGUUAAUUUUAGCUACUAAAAAUCAAGAAUAAGUAAAGUUGAAACACUGAACUGCAACUUCUACAGCAAUUAAGCAGCAACAACAACUGCUGCAGAAUGUGGUCCUCAGUCCUCCUGUGUAAGAGCUGCUAUAAUUACAUUGUAAGAGUU
Molecule: unclassified non-coding RNA, 256 nt
Filed under: Hevea brasiliensis (rubber tree)
Lineage: Eukaryota; Viridiplantae; Streptophyta; Magnoliopsida; Malpighiales; Euphorbiaceae
Source: RNAcentral